Cephus cinctus (wheat stem sawfly) is the source of this 5062-nucleotide long non-coding RNA. RefSeq lists it as uncharacterized. The record is from RefSeq and is a predicted model, not a curated record. The transcript is spliced from 3 exons. Lineage: Eukaryota; Metazoa; Arthropoda; Insecta; Hymenoptera; Cephidae.
UUGAAUGGAUGUGGUUAGUAUUUUAUUUAGUUAGUUUAGGUUCAGUUUUUUUAAAAUGUUAACUUCCAUGUGUGAAUACCCCAUAAUGUGCCCGAUCCCCGAAAUGUACGUUUAACAUGAUUAUACUAUAUUACAUUAUGCAAUUCACAAAUAAUGACAUACUACGAUUGUUGGCAUCCAGAUAUUUAUCAUAAUACUACAAUCUAUAAUAUGUAUAUAUCGUAUAUACGUAUAUACAUCAUACUGGCAUAUAUUAACUUAUGCCAAGUAAGCGUGAAAGCAAUAAAAUAACGCAUUACAGGAGACCUUGAUUUUGGCUUGGAGAACAUACAACAUCUGCACUUAUGGUGAGAGUCUUGUUUCCCUUCACGUUCCAAUUCGUAAUACAUAUAUUUCAAUAAUAUUAACAAACUGUCAGGCUUCGAAUAAGGGCAAUGCUAAUGCUACGUACGAUAUAUCCUAUAUGAGUACGUACCUUACUACGUUAAUGAAUAAUGUACAUAGUACAUAUGAAUGUAUGUUUGCAUUCAAAAACAUAUUUGUGUACAUAUAUAGUCGUUUAUGACAAAUGAGAAUGAAAUCAGGAUAAAAUACCUAGGUAUCAUGUAUCCAGUAUGCUAGGAAUCUCGUCAGCCCGGAUAAAUCAGUUCUUAUCAAUGAUAUGUAAGAUCAGCACGAUAUAACUCGCAGUCUAUAGCUUUGCAAGAUGUCGUUAAGCAGGUGUCACCAUACUCAUUCGAUACUCCUGGAUCAAUGAUUUUGAUUAAUUAUCAAGUAAUAAUUAUUUUCAGUAGAUCUAUAAAAAGAUAUUUGUAUUAAUUAAAUUAUCGAUUGAUAAGUAUUUAUACUGUACUACGGUAUGUUUAUUUAGUAAAGAUCAGUAUGACAUGAAACUUGAACUAAUUAUUGCAAAACUAACAAUCGUAUUUCUUGAUAUUAAUAUUCAAUUAUACCUGAUCGAAUGUUAUUACUUAUUACCAAUAGAUCAAUUGAAUCGAGUAUCGCACGGACUCGGCUCGUUAAUUUCUUCUCCUCGCGCAAUCAUCAGGCCUUAAUCGUUUAGUUGAGAGAGAUAACGGUGGAAUUUCAAAAUGGCGUCCCAGCGCAUAUAUAUCAUGUUGCAAGUAGAUGGAUAAUGACGGUUCAGCAUAAUCGCGUCUAGGUGCAUAUAAGUAUACGUAUAUAGAUAGCAAGCGUUAAAAAAAGGUCCGAUGACGUAAAUCUUGUCGAAAUCAGGACCUAUGUAUUUCUGUAUGAUUUAUAGAUUUAUAACAUACGUUACACAGAAAUUCUCGACAAUACGAGAAAUAUUUGACUUAAUUAAUAUAAUUGUCGUUGACACGUCAUUAAGAGACGAUAGGUGGCGACCUUGCUGAUUACUGCUGGAACUUUACGUGCGGCAGCUCUAUGUGUUUCAGAAUCGACAUACCUGUGGGAGGAUCUAUAUAUCUAUGUUCUUAUGUUAAUUAGUCCAUUCGUCUAAUUAAUUAUUAAUUAACGGAUCAGCUAGCUGAGAUUCCCUUAAAUGGCAAGGACUCUUGUGCAGCUCACGUGAUACGCAUUGUAGGACGACUAGGUAUCUUAGAUAUGUGUAUUACGUGAAAUCGAAAGAUUUGACAUUUAGCUAAAUACUGUAACGUAGAUACAAAGUUUAGUGGCGUCCGAACAUAGCAUACUAAUUUUUCUAUGGCCUAAAUUAACAACGGCACGCAUGCUUACGUUUUUGUCAGUAACAACGUAGCGGUCUGGUAUCUACUUUAUAUAUUGACUAAUAAUAUGGAACAAGGACAGUCUAAUUGCCACACGUUAUUUCAUCUGUAAAAUCCUAAGCUGAUUGCUCGAAUCGCCCAGAAUUAAGGACAGUCGAUGGCUGACUGUUUGCACAAGGUUAAUUUAAGACCAAUACACUUUUUCGUUGAAAAGCUAAUACAUAUUAUUUGUACUUACGUAUUACGUGCAUGCGCAUGAUUUAUAAUAUAAUUUUUAUGUUCUAGAACUUAGGGUAAUCAUACAGAAAAUACAUGGUCAUUUAGGACUGUUGUAUCGCCUGAGUUUAGCGUUUCAUUAAUUCCAAUGAAACUGUCUUAAAGUGGUGCAAUAGUCCUGUGUAAUGUAUGUAUAAUUAAUUUUAUGCGUCUACUAAUUUUGUUUUUUAAUCUUAGAACAAUAAUUGUUAUUGUAUCUAUUCGCUGUGCAUAUACAAAUGUAGGUAUAUCUGAGCGAGCACGUGUUCAAAUUUAUAGUCAGUUUGUCUGCGCCAUCUGUACUGCUCACUGUAAGUUCUCGAUGCAUAUUCGUUUUAUAUGUACAUUUCUGUACACGAUCGCUAACGUAAGUAUAACCGUAGUGGUAUAACUGCUUUAGUACGCAUCUAGCUGACAGCGGUAAGCGCCACUAGUCCAACACGGAGUCGAACCAAACUAAAGAAGAAGUACAAGAAAUACAUAGUGGUUGUUGGACAUCUAUAUCGAUUUCUGGAAACUAUUUUCUUAUGGGUUGUUCUAUAAGAAUGUCUAUUCAAUUUGACGCUGAUUUAGAAUCAUGUUUGCAGUAAUUCUUGUUGCUAUUAAAAUUAAUUGUAUCAUAGUUAUUUGUGACGGUACAUCAGUGAAUUUUCGAACUAACUCAAACAGUAGUAAGUACAUUGAUCUAAAAGAGAAUGGCUGGGCUGAAUCUCUAUACAAAUAAUAGUACAGGCUAACAUUUUUUUUGAAAUUAUAUUUAUUUUUUUUGUAAAAUACUAUAGAUAUAAUUAUACCUUAGUUGCACUGAAACAAUAAGAGUCAGUACCACUAUAAUUCCUUUUAGCUACUACUACCAUAAACAAUUAUUGUCUUUUGACAGUUUACAUUAUCAGUAACUUCUUCAUGUACAUUUGCCAUGGCAGAUCGGUACAAUUAUUAUGUCGAUACACAGUGACAAGUAUCGAACGUUAUGUCGUUGAUAGCUGACUGAUAGUUUGUCAUUAUAGUCGCAAAUGCAACGAAGCAGUCAUCAUAAAAAUUCUAUUACGCCGGACCACACCUCCGCGACAAGGUUAGAUUUUUAUCUAUCGUUACAGUAUGCUAACUUACGGAAUACCUCCUUCGUAUCAUUUCACCACACCUAACGCUCGCGAUCUGCAUAUCAUUAGGAUUUGUCGAUUCUGCGUAGUAAAGUGGAUAUAUGCAUGGCUGAGAAUAGCAUCAUAAAGCAUAAACGCGAAUCCGCAUGAAAUGCAGCAAAAUUUCAUAAUUGCUGUAUACAUACAUAAUCGUGCAUGCAAAUCAAUUAUAUAUCAUUGAUCUAAAUUUCAUCACGAUCGAAUAGGAUUGAUGAUUUUUUUAUUAUCUUAUAAGUAUUUAAUGUCACAAUAAUAGUUUGGAUAAUAACGUUUCUCCGUAUAGCGCAUUUUAUUCAACAAGUCUAAAAUCCAUGACGUAUCUAUUAGCUGUGAUGAAAAGUGUAUACGUGGAGUGCGGUCAAUCAUUGCAAUAAGGUACGCAGUCGAGGAACAGGAAUAUGGUUUUAAGAGUAUCCAUCAUGGAUGACGUCACGGCCACGGUGGCGCAAAGGUAGCGGAGUACGUUAGUAAAUUAUGGCCACUUGUUCAGCCCUAUUUUUAGCUCGGACCUGGGUAUUAUUUAUAGCAUAUUUUCCUCAUCUCAAUAAAAACUGUUUCGCGAAUUUUUAGGAUGCGAGGAGAGUGUAUUUUAUCUUAAAAAUUUUUUAUUUAUAAUUUUUUAUUAUACAAUAAACUUCUUGAAAGCUUUUCUAUUAGACAAGGCAGAAAUACAAUUUGAUAUUUUCCUACCCGAAAAGGAGUCUUAUGCCUCAAGGAUGUUGGCACCCUUCCCAUUUUGGAUAUUUUUUUUGUGUCCACAUUCUCAGCUACCCUUAGUGCGUAGUAAGUAUUACUUAACGUCUAGCGUUUUCUCGUACAAUAUUUUCACCAUUCAUUUUAACCCCUUUUGCCGACGUGGUUAACUGGCUGGUCACGUGACUGGCCCACAUCCAUUGCUUUUAACGUGGUUCAACUCAAUGGCGUGGGAUCAAAGUAUAUUUAUGAGUAACAUUGGCGUCACGCUUUUCGUUGUCCAAUCUUCGCCCUUAGAGAAUCAAUUAUACAUUUUAUGAGAAGUAAUAAUACACAGGAUUGCUGACCCCUUAACAGGUGGAACUUUACUUCUUGACAAUUUCUUUUUAAGGACCUCAUUGUUCUCUGGCGUUACUUUGCUUUGCUAAUUCGGACAAUAAUCGCGGCUAACUUCUACUAAUGGAUGGAACAACAGUCACGGUUCGCUACCAGAGCAGUAAUCGGCUUUCGAUUUAAAGAGAUGCUGGGCUUACGUGAAUUACGAUUUGCUGAUUGUGAAUUCAUUUUUGUAUUUUUAUGAUGUUUUGAUAAUGUGACAUUUUUUAAUAAAGGUAAUGAUUUCUGAAAGUACGUGGUAACUUUAUGUUUCUGAUAUUGUACCUACAUAUAUUUGCACUGAUUUAAUUUGAAGGUAACUUAGUUUUGUAGUUUGACUGCACUGGAGUGCAUUUUACCAAAUAUGAAAAAUUGGCAAGAUUUGGUUUGGUUUGGAAAUGACAGUCGUGAAGCAUCUGUGUUUAUUCAACCUGUGUACCUUUAUGUUAGUUGGUUGCUAUUCUACAGGCGUGAAACUCAUUCACAACAUUUCUAUGUCAUAAAAUACAUUAUAAUAUUUAAUAGUAUAUAGUAUACGGUGUUAUAUCGGAAUAAGGUUGAUUUAUUGAUUCAUUAUAAAUAAUAAAGGUUUACAUAUAAUUAUUUUCACAAGAUAUUAGAGCUUAUCAUAUGUGAAUUUUCUUUAUAACGUCCUCUGUACAAACGAUUGUGAAACAAUUCUUCAUUUAGGUAAGCAAUACUUGGUGCUGUACUGUAGAUAUUCGUCAAACUGUAUUUUCUAUUUUAUCGACGAUAUAAAAAUGAUCAGAAGAUGGGGCAAAGUACAACCGUCGGGAAGUCAGCGCGGGAAAAUCAAAAUUGACAUGUCUAUAAUGCCUAAAAAAGUUCCUCCUUAAAUGCUCCUUAUGUUUCCCUAAUUGCUCCGCUGCA